This 466-nucleotide ribosomal RNA is filed under the name uncultured bacterium. Its description in RNAcentral is "bacterial SSU rRNA". It matches the Rfam family "Bacterial small subunit ribosomal RNA", at positions 32 to 507 of the family's 1533-position model. The record is from RNAcentral.
GACAACGCUGGCGGCGUAGCUUAACACAUGCAAGUCGAACGGGUCCAUGAGAGCUUGCUCUCGGAAGACCUAGUGGCGAACGGGUGAGUAACACGUGAGAAACCUGCCUCGGAGUGGGGAAUAACUCGAGGAAACUCGAGCUAAUACCGCAUACCUUCAUUUGACCGCAUGGUCAGUUGAAGAAAGAUUUAUCGCUCUGAGAGGGUCUCGCGGCCUAUCAGCUUGUUGUGGGGUAACGGCCUACCAAGGCAACGACGGGUAGCUGGAUUGAGAGAUCGACCAGCCACACUGGAACUGAGACACGGUCCAGACUCCUACGGGAGGCAGCAGUGGGGAAUCUUGCGCAAUGGGCGAAAGCCUGACGCAGCAACGCCGCGUGCGGGAUGAAGGCCUUCGUGGUUGUAAACCGCUUUCAGUAGGGACGAAAAUGACGGUACCUGCAGAAGAAGCUCCGGCUAACUACGUG